GGAGGGGGGCCAGCGUUGUUCGGAAUUACUGGGCGUAAAGGGCGCGUAGGCGGCUGCGCAAGUCGAACGUGAAAUCCCUCGGGCUCAACCGGGGAACUGCGUCCGAUACUGCGUGGCUCGAGUCCCCGGAGAGGGUAGCGGAAUUCCCAGUGUAGCGGUGAAAUGCGUAGAUAUUGGGAGAAACACCAGUGGCGAAGGCGGCUACCUGGACGGGUACUGACGCUGAGGCGCGAAAGCUAGGGGAGCAAACAGGAUUAGAUACCCUGGUAGUCCUAGCUGUGAACGAUGGGCACUUGGUGUUGCGGGUAUCGACCCCCGCAGUGCCGAAGCUAACGCAUUAAGUGCCCCGCCUGGGGAGUACGGUCGCAAAGGCUG
RNAcentral lists this ribosomal RNA (375 nucleotides) under uncultured organism. Its description in RNAcentral is "partial 16S ribosomal RNA". It matches the Rfam family "Bacterial small subunit ribosomal RNA", at positions 526 to 896 of the family's 1533-position model. The record is from RNAcentral.